UACGAAGGGGGCUAGCGUUGCUCGGAAUGACUGGGCGUAAAGGGCGCGUAGGCGGAUGGUACAGUCAGAUGUGAAAUUCCUGGGCUUAACCUGGGGGCUGCAUUUGAUACGUGUUGUCUAGAGUGAGGAAGAGGGUCGUGGAAUUCCCAGUGUAGAGGUGAAAUUCGUGGAUAUUGGGAAGAACACCGGUGGCGAAGGCGGCGACCUGGUCCUUUACUGACGCUGAGGCGCGAAAGCGUGGGGAGCAAACAGG
This 253-nucleotide ribosomal RNA is filed under the name uncultured bacterium. RNAcentral's name for it is "partial 16S ribosomal RNA". It matches the Rfam family "Bacterial small subunit ribosomal RNA", at positions 524 to 776 of the family's 1533-position model. The record is from RNAcentral.